RNAcentral lists this ribosomal RNA (256 nucleotides) under uncultured bacterium. Its description in RNAcentral is "partial small subunit ribosomal RNA". It matches the Rfam family "Bacterial small subunit ribosomal RNA", at positions 26 to 285 of the family's 1533-position model. The record is from RNAcentral.
AGGACGAACGCUGGCGGCGUGCUUAACACAUGCAAGUCGAGCGGAAAGGCCCUUCGGGGUACUCGAGCGGCGAACGGGUGAGUAACACGUGAGUAAUCUGCCCCUAGCUCUGGGGAUAGCUCCGGGAAACCGGGAUUAAUACCGGAUAUGACCACUUUAGACAUCUGUUGUGGUGGAAAGAAUUUCGGCUAGGGAUGAGCUCGCGGCCUAUCAGCUUGUUGGUGGGGUAACGGCCUACCAAGGCGACGACGGGGUA